This is a small nucleolar RNA of Suncus etruscus (white-toothed pygmy shrew), 141 nucleotides long. RefSeq annotates it as small nucleolar RNA SNORA43. The transcript has a single exon. The record is from RefSeq and is a predicted model, not a curated record. NCBI's taxonomy places the organism in Eukaryota, Metazoa, Chordata, Mammalia, Eulipotyphla, Soricidae.
UAUGCCCUACAGGUGCCAAACAUGGCACCAGAGAUGUGGCUGCCUGGCCACACCAGUGAUAGAGGGCACAGAGAAAGUGGCUAUUUCUACACUCAGUACCCAGACCCAUGGGCACUAAGAAUGGUUUGUAGCCUCACAUUU